GUCUGAAUGGGACUGUAGCGCGAGCGCGGGCGACUGCCUUCCUUCCGCCCUUCCCUCAGGGAGAGGGAAGCUGGGUCCCGCUCCCUCGGCCUGGUGUUACCGACUUUCCGCCCCGCCCCCGCCCCCAUCAGGUGCGGCCUAGCGCUGCCCCUGGAGAGCCUCAGAAAGCGGCAGCGGGCGGCCGCUUCCCGCCGCGACCCUGAGGGCGGCCUGCGGGGACGACGCGGCGGGCGCGGCUCUCGGGCAUGCUUGGCGGCGGCGGCGGCGGCGGUGUGCCCGCCGGGCCGGCGCCGCGCUCGGGCCCCGACCUCCUCCCACCGCGGCCUUCAGGCUCCUGGCGCACCGGGGGCCGAUCGCGGAGAACGUUUAAACUUGAAACAUCGGAGGUGACGGCUUCCUGGCGGCGAUAGGGGCACGGUCAACUUAACAUUUCGACCUAAAACAAAACCACUGUGGGCCCAGCUUGAAGGGGUGAUGGAGACGCCGGGAUAAACCUAAUGAGAAGUCAGGCACUUACCUCGUCUUACGUGAUCGGCACUCACGGUUUAAAUUUCUGUCUGGUGUUAAAUGAAAUGCCCAGCAGAGGAGUUGAUUUGAAUUCCGUAUGGACUCGGUGUAUAUAUAACAGCGUGUAUUUUUUCAAAGAAAUGGGUGUAAAGAGAACAAAUACAUGGGGAACUUUAACAAUUGCCUGUGUAAACAAGCACUAUUGUGAGUAGUAC
This is a long non-coding RNA of Bos taurus (domestic cattle), 722 nucleotides long. Lineage: Eukaryota; Metazoa; Chordata; Mammalia; Artiodactyla; Bovidae. The record is from Ensembl.